AUUCCAGCUCCAAUAACGUAUAUUAAAGUUGUUGCGGUUAAAGGCCUCGUAGUUGGAUUUCUGCUGAGGACGACCGGUCCGCCCUCUGGGUGAGUAUCUGGCUCAGCCUUGGCAUCUUCUUGGGGAACGUAACUGCACUUGACUGUGUGGUGCGGUAUCCAAGACUUUUAAUUUGAGGAAAUUCAAAUGUUUCAAGCAGGCGCACGCCUUGAAUACAUUAGCAUGGAAUGGUAAGAUAGGACCUUGGUUCUAUUUUGUUGGUUUCUAAAGCUGAGGUAAUGAUUAAUAAGGAUAGUUGGGGGCAUUCGUAUUUAACUGUCAGACGUGAAAUUCUUGGAUUUGUUAAAGACGGACUACUGCGAAAGCAUUUGCCAAGGAUGUGUUCAUCG
RNAcentral lists this ribosomal RNA (389 nucleotides) under Dinophyceae sp. RNAcentral describes it as "partial small subunit ribosomal RNA". It matches the Rfam family "Eukaryotic small subunit ribosomal RNA", at positions 582 to 975 of the family's 1831-position model. Lineage: Eukaryota; Dinophyceae. The record is from RNAcentral.